ACACUGCUGUCAGUGAUGUGACAUCAUGACCUCAUACACUGCUGUCAGUGGUGUGACAUCAGGACCUCAUACACUGCUGUCAGUGGUGUCAUCAUGUGGUACUGACAUGAUCAUAUGUUACCGUGAAUCAGCCACAAGAUGCAUGUCUAGGGGGGGGUUGAAUUUAAUCUGAUCUGGGUUCACUUCUAUGUUCUUGUAAGAUAUAGUUAGAUGUCCCUGAGACACACGUAAAUGAUACACAAUUGAUAACAGGUCAACUAAAGUAAAAACAUGCCUUGCAUAGUAUAACGAUAGUGAUAAAACAUAUGAGAGAAGCUCUAGGUGGCGUUCAGCAGAUGUUACUGGGGCCUUCAGACGUUCUCUCACCUCUCCUUCUCCAGAUCAUCCUGGUAGGGCAACCUGGUGCUGGGCUCCUGGAGGCAGGUAGAGCGCUGUCCUCUGCCCCUGGCUCUCACUCCUUUGCCCCUCUUGCCCCGGUACUUGUCCCACAGGUUGCGGCCUUUGCCCCCCGUCACGCAGCAUGUGAUCUUCUUCACCGGGGUGGCCAGCUUCUUCACCGGGGCGGCCAUCUUCUUCACCGGGGCGGCCAUCUUCUUAACCGGUGCUGCCAUCUUCUUCACCGGGGCUGCCAGCUUCUUCACUGGGGCGGCCAGCUUCUUCUUCACCACAGAGUUCAUGCUGGAGACUCAGGUGCAGAUGCAGGUGUGUGUGUGUGUGUGUGUGUGUGUGUGGGUGUGUGUGUGUGUGUGUGUGUGUGGGUGUGUGUGUUUUCAGGUGUGUGUGUGUGGACAGGUGAACGCUGACUAUCUGUGAAUAUGAAGUAGUGUGUGGAUGUGCUGUUUAACCUUGAUGAAGGGCAGACUUGUUUCGUUCAUGCUCGUUAUGAGUCUGUGUGUGUGUGUGGUCAAGUUUUACGUAUUUAUGACUGUCUGCUCUGCUUGUCCCAGCAUCUGUGAGUACAAACACACAGAUGAUGAUGACUCAGAGGCCAGGACCUGCAAGGACAAGGACACACAAACACAGACACACACGGACACACGGACACACACACACACACACACACACACACACACACACACACACACACACAUAUAAAUGGAUCCACUUCAUGAAAGCACUGAUAUCUUUGCAGAGCCAUACAUUACAUUUUCAUAAUAAUAAAGAAUUUAAGACACACCAUCAGAGAAGAUGCAUAUUUCCAAACAGACAUAUUUGCACACACUCACACAAACAUUUAAGAAAUAGAAAUAGACACUUAAGGUAACCUAGAUCAUCACAGUCAAUUCAGUCACUCAGACAAACUGGCCUGUCCAUUAGCAAUGCCUGUUAGUAAUGAAAGCCUCCCUCCCACACACAGAUACAUAAACACAGAUUUGUACUUAACUACCUGAGACACGUCCAACUGGCCUGUUUCAUUUAGCCCACACACACACACACACACACACACAAUUACAAGGCCAUUCUAAGACUGGUAGAAGUCCUUAAGCAAUUCAAGGCUGUGAAGCUCACUAUGCAGCUAUGGCUCAGAUCAGAACCACACCCAUGCCAGGCUUGUUAGCGCUAGUGUGUGUGUGUGUGUGUGUGUGUGUGUGUGUGUAUGUGUGUGUGUGAGAGUGUUUACCUGUCAGGUCUGUGUGUGCCCUCAGCAAGUAACUCCAGCUGGAGGUGCGUGAUCACCAACCCCUCAGGCGUAGAAGAGGAAGAAGAUAAUAUCCUCCACUUCGUUCUCCUCCUUGUCCCCCUUCAUCUGUCUGUCCGUUCCUCUCUUCCGUCACCACGGAGUCCUCACCUUUCUUCUGUGCUCCCUCUCUCUUUCUUUCUUCUGUGCUCCCUCUCUCUUUCUCGUCUUGCUCCUUCUGUCUCUCACCAUGUGUGUGUCCGAACGCGAGGGAAUGCGGUCACUGGUUAGUGGAGGUUUAGUGGGGCCUCACCCUCACCCAGAGCAGGUCGGAUUAAUGGCCUAAAGCCCUUAGCACGGGGGAAUCCUGUUAGCCAGCACAGGAGGGGCACGUUUGUCACACACACACACACACACACACACACACAUUAUAUCCAAAUACACACACACACACAUACACAAUGCCAGCACAGGCAGAGAUACUGAGGCCAUGCCACACCAUGCCCGCACAGGUGCAUGCUGGGUAAAGGUGAGCUCCUGAGAGGCUUGGCACCCACGAGAGCGCAGGGAAGGCUGCUGUG
Molecule: long non-coding RNA, 2199 nt
Organism: Clupea harengus (Atlantic herring)
Lineage: Eukaryota; Metazoa; Chordata; Actinopteri; Clupeiformes; Clupeidae
Source: Ensembl